AUUUUUUAAAAUAAGAAAGGAAAACCUGCCUUCUUCCCACAGAUAGUUUUUUUGUGCAUGGGCAAAUUGCAAAUUUUAAAGCACUCUCUUGAGAUUAAAGUUAAUGGCAGACCCAGGGCUGUGGUAUUCUACCAAUUCUUUAUCAUUAUUUUCUCUUAUAAAAAUGGUUCUUCCUUUUUUUUUAAUGUACAAAUGUGUACUGGAAGGUUAUUGGUCCAGGUAGGCUAACCUUUAACUUAGAUGUGAAAAUUUCUUGGUCCUGUCCUUGUAUGAAAGCUUGACUCAAUUUUAUCUGAGUAACCUAAACUGAAUAAAUAGAAACUUGAAAUUUACUUGUUCUCCUUUUCAGUUGUGCAUCAAAAUUUUGAAGUCAUGGUGAGCAUGAACUACAGGUUUACAAGAAAUUUGCAGCAUUAAAACUGGGACUAUAACUACUUCAAAUGACUUUACUAUGAGCUGCACAGACGUGAGCUCGGGCCGCCUGUGAAGAAGAAAACAUUCCAGGAACAAAACCGAAGGUCCUCAGCUGCUUAAAAGAACUGCCGACUAGCAUGCGUGUUGAUCACUUUGCAGAUCGUGGUGAAACGUAAAUGCGAUGCUGUAAAGUAUUUACAUUUGGAACUUAAUAAAUGCUCCUUACUAUCUUGAAUUCCACUUAUUUGUGGUUGGAAAGUAGACUGCGGAGGUCAAACCAAUUAUUUGCGACAUCCAUCAAAGUAUCAGAACUACUAUUUUUGAGAGAGAAUAUCCUGAACUGAGCAUUUUAUUACAACUACUCAAGCAUUUGAAGAUAUCUUUCUUUGCGAACAUAGAUAACUUGUUUAAAACUUCAGAUCAGUCUGCUGUACCGGUAUCGCAGAGGUCAUAGAGUGAAAUCCCGUACAGGCCUGAAUUUUUUUCUUCAGGCCUUAUUUUCACUACUGCUCAAGUAGUGUUCAUUACUGCGAAGAUCGCUUCCAUAUUUUAGCGGCCAUUUUGGUCAUGCCUCUCUCUGGUGUGUCUUAUUAAAGGGGAAUGAUAACUUCCCUCAGAUGCUUUUUCUUUCAUAGCUGUCUAAACUUUCAUUUGGUGGGUGUAUCACCGAUUACAAUGAUUUGUACAGCAUUAAUCCGGUAGCAUUUCAUCGCUGAGACAUGAGGAAUGAGUUAUUGGGAUAUCUUUAAUAUGGUUUGGAUAUAGCAUUUUACAAGUGUCUAUUACUCCGGUCAAAGUAAUAAACUAACAAAAACGUAUGUUUACAUAGCUAUAAAGCAAAAUAUAUUGUUGAAGC
Pocillopora verrucosa is the source of this 1270-nucleotide non-coding RNA. NCBI's taxonomy places the organism in Eukaryota, Metazoa, Cnidaria, Anthozoa, Scleractinia, Pocilloporidae. The record is from RefSeq and is a predicted model, not a curated record.